This 494-nucleotide ribosomal RNA is filed under the name uncultured bacterium. RNAcentral describes it as "bacterial SSU rRNA". It matches the Rfam family "Bacterial small subunit ribosomal RNA", at positions 31 to 518 of the family's 1533-position model. The record is from RNAcentral.
GAACGCUAGCGGCAGGCUUAACACAUGCAAGUCGAGGGGCAGCGGGAUGUAGCAAUACAUUGCCGGCGACCGGCGGAUGGGUGCGUAACGCGUAUGCAACCUACCUUAUACAGGGGAAUAACCUUUCGAAAGGGAGACUAACACCCCAUAGUAUUGAUUUAAGGCAUCUUAGAUUAAUUAAAUAUUUAUAGGUAUAAGAUGGGCAUGCGUAUGAUUAGCUAGUUGGUAAGGUAACGGCUUACCAAGGCGACGAUCAUUAGGGGUUCUGAGAGGAAGGUCCCCCACACUGGUACUGAGACACGGACCAGACUCCUACGGGAGGCAGCAGUGAGGAAUAUUGGUCAAUGGGCGCAAGCCUGAACCAGCCAUGCCGCGUGCAGGAAGACGGCCUUAUGGGUUGUAAACUUCUUUUAUAAGGGAAUAAAGUGAGGGACGUGUCCCUUUUUGUAUGUACCUUAUGAAUAAGGAUCGGCUAACUCCGUGCCAGCAGCGGC